AGCUUAUUUACUGCUACUAGCAAUGUCACUGGGUCUGUCGACUAAGGCGCUACUACAAAAGCUGGUGGUGGAAGGAGGCAUUGAAAUUCCGGAGGAGGCGGCUCAGAAAUGUAGAGACAAUGACGUAGAUGGCAAGAGAGUGGAUUGCAUACCCACAAAGAGUAUAAUAGGGUAUCUCUGACAAGUCUGACCAAAAGCUGUUAAAGUUCAGACUUCACACUCCGCUACAAGGAGGUCACCCUUAAUUUGGAAGCAGUCAAGCAUGUCAAAAGCAAUAUUAACUUCUCACCUGCAAUCCUGAAGUAGUCACUGGUCUUAACUUGUAUUAUAGGUUGUUUAAUACUGCAAAUAAAAUUUAUUUCUUUCCCCUA
This is a long non-coding RNA of Micropterus dolomieu (smallmouth bass), 371 nucleotides long. RefSeq lists it as uncharacterized. The record is from RefSeq and is a predicted model, not a curated record. The transcript is spliced from 2 exons. NCBI's taxonomy places the organism in Eukaryota, Metazoa, Chordata, Actinopteri, Centrarchiformes, Centrarchidae.